UACGUAGGGUGCGAGCGUUGUCCGGAAUUACUGGGCGUAAAGCGUGCGCAGGCGGUUUUGUAAGUCUGACGUGAAAGCCCCCGGGCUUAACCUGGGAAUUGCGUUGGAGACUGCAAGGCUUGAAUCUGGCAGAGGGGGGGUAGAAUUCCACGUGUAGCAGUGAAAUGCGUAGAGUAUGCGGAGGAACACCGAUGGCGAAGGCAACCUCCGUCGGCGCACUGACGCUCAUGCACGAAAGCGUGGGGAGCAAACAGG
RNAcentral lists this ribosomal RNA (255 nucleotides) under uncultured bacterium. RNAcentral's name for it is "partial 16S ribosomal RNA". It matches the Rfam family "Bacterial small subunit ribosomal RNA", at positions 524 to 776 of the family's 1533-position model. The record is from RNAcentral.